Molecule: ribosomal RNA, 98 nt
Filed under: uncultured bacterium
Lineage: Bacteria
Description: partial 16S ribosomal RNA
Rfam family: Bacterial small subunit ribosomal RNA
Source: RNAcentral
UACACACCGCCCGUCACACCAUGGAAGUUGGCUGCACCAGAAGUAGGUAGCCUAACCGCAAGGGGACGCUUACCACGGUGUGGUCAAUGACUGGGGUG